Molecule: long non-coding RNA, 1135 nt
Organism: Beta vulgaris subsp. vulgaris (sugar beet)
Lineage: Eukaryota; Viridiplantae; Streptophyta; Magnoliopsida; Caryophyllales; Amaranthaceae
Exons: 3
Source: RefSeq, a predicted model, not a curated record
CUAAUUAGCAUCCGUUUUUCUGAAAUUAGCGUCCGUCUUUGGAGCGGACGCUAAUUAGCGUCCGUUGUACAAGUUUACCGUCUAACAUGACGGACGGUAUUCAAUGGUCAUAAGAAAAAGAAUACGACCCACCUUAUUCUCUCACCUCACAUCAGAACCCACCUUAUUCUCUCACCUCACAUCACAACCGUCGUCAAUGUUUCUCUCUCACCGUCGACGGUAUUCUGUCCGCUACCACACUUGCUCUGAUUUCAAGGGAGGUUCGAUCGAUUUCUGAGCCAAUCAUCAUCGCAGGUUUUCGUUUUAGGGUACAACUAACUUAUUUACAAAGAUUUUUCACAGACACUGAUCAAGAAUUAUACCUGCUUCAAGUUGAUUCGAACAAGGUAGGAUGAUGAUGGGGACCACUGUAAUCAACAACAAUAGGCUGCUGAAGUGAACACCCAACUUAAACAAGUGAUAAGUGGUCUCAUUAGAAGUAAGAAAUUGAUUUUUGUCUUUUGGUCAUUGGUAAAAGUCAUAUGAAAUUGGUUUAUCAGAAGUGACAAAGAAGUAAUGUUUCUCCUCUAUGCAGAAUAAUGAUGAGUGAGAUUAUCAGGCCAUGGCUCAGCAUUUCAAAAUCUGAAAUUAGUGGUCUGAAUUAUUAUCAACUAAACCCAAUAAACCAUCUUAUAUUGGUGAACGUGAACUAGAUAUCGUCCCUUGUAGCAUCGUUUGUCAGAUUUCAAGUGAUGAUGGAAUAAAAUUAACAGCUCUUAACUUCUUAUAUCCAGAAUAUUGGAUCCUUUUGGGCAUCAGGUGCAACAACAAGAACACUCUAUAAAGGUUUCAAACAAAGUAAAGUGUUAUAGAAGCCAUUAAAGUAAAAACAUUAGAAGCCGUUAAAUUAAUCUGUUUGCCUUGUAAAAUGCCAUUGCAUUCUUGUGUUCUUGUUCCUGUUGGUGCUGCCUUUGGAAUCUAAUUGACUCAAUUAUGCUUGCUUAUGAGAGAAAUAAGCAGAGAUAUUUGUUAUUGUCUGAAUGGCAUCUGGGUGCGGCUUUUGUAACUGGAUUGACUUUAUAAGAGUGGUUAGUGACUUGUGAUUGUAAUGAAACUUCAAUCUGUGCAAAUCUAUGUCUAGCAAUGAUUAUGUUAA